AGAGUUUGAUUAUGGCUCACGCUUUAAGAUGGCGGCGUGCCUAANACAUGCAAGUCGAACGCCCUUUUAAAGUCGAUGCGAUUUCGGUCAAGUCAAAGGAUGUUUUAGUGGCGGACGGGUGAGUAACGCGUGGGCUUCUUGAAAAACACCGGGGGAUAACACUUAGAAAUAGGUGCUAAUACCGCAUAACAGGAGAACAUGCAUGUGUUUUCCUUGAAAACCACGGUGGUGUAAGAUGGACCCGCGUCUGAUUAGCUUGUUGGCAGGGUAACGGCCUACCAAGGCGACGAUCAGUAGCCGGCCUGAGAGGGUGGACGGCCACAUUGGGACUGAGACACGGCCCAGACUCCUACGGGAGGCAGCAUUGUUGAAUAUUGCACAAUGGGGGAAACCCUGAUGCAUCGACGCCGCGUGAGUGAAGAAGUAUUUCGGUAUGUAAAGCUCUGUCAGCAGGGAAGAAAAUGACGGUACCUGACCAAGAAGCCCCGGCUAACUACGUGCCAGCAGCCGCGGUAAUACGUAGGGGGCAAGCGUUAUCCGGAUUUACUGGGUGUAAAGGGAGUGCAGACGGCAGUGCAAGUCCGGAGUGAAAGCCCGGGGCCCAACCCCGGGACUGCUCUGGAUACUGUACGGCUGGAGUGCCGGAGAGGUAAGCGGAAUUCCUAGUGUAUCGGUGAAAUGCGUAGAUAUUAAGAGGAACACCAGUGGCCGAAGGCGGUUUUAUGGACGGUAACUGAUGUUUGAUGUUUGAAAGCGUGGGGAACAAAUAGGAUUAAAUACCCCUGGUAGUCCAC
RNAcentral lists this ribosomal RNA (794 nucleotides) under uncultured bacterium. RNAcentral describes it as "bacterial SSU rRNA". It matches the Rfam family "Bacterial small subunit ribosomal RNA", at positions 8 to 798 of the family's 1533-position model. The record is from RNAcentral.